Long non-coding RNA from Pieris brassicae (large cabbage white), 1033 nucleotides. RefSeq lists it as uncharacterized. The record is from RefSeq and is a predicted model, not a curated record. The transcript has 2 exons. Lineage: Eukaryota; Metazoa; Arthropoda; Insecta; Lepidoptera; Pieridae.
GUUCCUGUAUACUACCAUACCAUUUUCCUUUCAAUUUUUGAUCUUCUUCCCAUAAUGUUGUCCAUAAAUUUUUUAUCGAGUUAUUGAUAUAAAAAUAAUAAUCACUCACAGGAACCUGUACCACAUUUCUGACAUUAAGCGUGUUAAUCCCUUCAUAUGCAGCUUUGUCUGCUUUUUCGUUACCAGUAAUACCUUUAUGUGAGGGUACCCACAUAAAGGCAACAGUUAUAUAGCUUAAGGCUAUUUAAAAGACUCAAAGAGUCUGUCAAAAUUAGAAAAUAUUUACAAUUAUUUAUAGAAAUUAUAGAUUUUAAAGCGGCAAAAACUGCAUAUGCCUCUGCUGUAAAUAUGAAGCACUUUUUAUCAAGAGCAAAGCUUUGAGCAACAUCUUUUUGGGAAUCAUAUACCGCACUUCUCACAAAAUCAUUGCCUUUACUGCCAUCAGUGUAGAUUGUAUAAUACUUGUUAUUUUCUUCUAUAUAAGCCAGUAAAUCUGAAUUAUUUUCGAUUGAAUUUGAUAAAAUCGUAAUAGGAUGAGUGAUACAACUGUAUGAAUGAGUGUAACACGACCAGUGUGUAAGUUUUUUGAUGUUCGAAUAAUGAGAUUGUAUUUCUAAAAAGAUCUGGCACAGAGUUGGAGAUGUACCUCUCAGGAGACCAUUUGGUGAAGUGAGUGGACCAUCUAUAUUGAUUGGAUCCGAUAUGAGAGAAAUGAAGCUAUCAACACAACUUCUUCCUCUGCGAAAUCCAUAUUGAAUGUGUGGAAUGACAUUAUUGGAUUCUGCAUACCAGUCAAGUCGAGAUUUCACCAUAUUUUCAAAUAUUUUUCCAAUACAUGAUGAUAACGAGAUUGGACGAUAAGAACUGAUCUGUUCAGGUGACUUAUCUGGUUUUAAUAUAGGUAUUACACAUUGAGUUUGCCAUGAACUUGGUAUGAGUUUUUUAUGUCAUAGAUUAUUAAGAACAUUCAAAAAUAGCUUUUGUACAGAUUCAGAUAGAUGUUUUAUUAAUAAAUAUGGAAAAUCAUCUAAAC